CACACCUCUAAACCGCCUGGCUCGUGCACGCAUGGGCUCAAAACCAGCGGGUUUUUACGCAAAGGUCGGCGUGAGGAGGCGCGCGCGCACUCCAGUUAUCUGUCACCACCGGCGGCACGUGCGGCUUGGGCAGCGGCUGAUAAAUAUCUUGCGCAGGCGCCGUUUAGGGGCUCGUGGGAGUUUUAUAAUGCAGUAACACCGGAAUAUUUCGGCUACACGGGAACACAAACCGGAGGGAUUACUGUCCUCGUGCUCAUCCCGGUGGAAAGCGCGAGACUGAGGAAACUGACGGACUUACAGGUGAGCGCUUCAUCACAUACCGUCAACAACACCGACUGCGUCCCAAACACCUCCAGCACUCCACUCAGCACCACCGCCUGGGCUCGGUUUAAACAAACUGUCAGUACUGAGUGGAGGAUUGGGAUGUAACCUUCUCUAAUCGGUUGUUAGGCAACAACGGCUGUCCGUCACCCUAAAAAUAGCUUCACUCCUACUCGCCAGGCUUUAUCAUUUAAUUCUCACCAUCUGUACUCGAAUGUCAUCUAACAUCGUCCUUCAUUAAUCCAUAGAAAUCUAGAUUCACCUGUUAUUUUCACCCGUUUUUACACCUGAGACAUUCGGAUGGUCGCGAGGAGCUUUUCAAUUUAAACUCUAACCGACAUUUCUACUGUAUAACGGACACUACAGCUCGGUUAUAACGGACACUACAGCUCGGUUAUAACGGACAUUACAGCUCGGUUAUAACGGACACUACAGCUCGGUUAUAACGGACACUACAGCUCAGUUAUAACGGACAUUACAGCUCAGUUAUAACGGACACUUAUAUAGUUCUCCAGUCAGCAAAUGUUAUGCAUAAAUAGAGAUUCAGAACUUUAAUGUUUGUCUAAAGCAAGUAAUUUUCAUUCAAACCUAUAGAGUAUAACAUAUAUAUAAAAAAUCUAUAGAAGAUACAGUAUAUAAAUAAAACUUACAAAAGAUACAGUAUAAAUAAAACCUAUAAAAAGAUACAGUAUAUAAAUAAAACCUAAUAGAAAUACAGUAUAUAUAUAAAAUAUGUAGAA
Molecule: long non-coding RNA, 1061 nt
Organism: Ictalurus punctatus (channel catfish)
Lineage: Eukaryota; Metazoa; Chordata; Actinopteri; Siluriformes; Ictaluridae
Source: Ensembl